Molecule: ribosomal RNA, 426 nt
Filed under: Clistoabdominalis helluo
Lineage: Eukaryota; Metazoa; Arthropoda; Insecta; Diptera; Pipunculidae
Description: partial 16S ribosomal RNA
Source: RNAcentral
ACCCAAUAUUAUAUCUUAAUCCAACAUCGAGGUCACAAUCUUUUUUAUCAAUAUGAACUUUCCAAAAAAAUUAUGCUGUUAUCCCUAAAGUAACUUAAUUUAUUAAUCAAUAAUAAAAGAUCAAAUAAUCAUAAAUUAAUGUUUUAAAAAUUAAAAGUUUUUUAAAUUUUAAUAUCUCCCCAAUAAAAUAUAAAUCAACAUUUAAAUAUAAAUAAUCUAUAUUAUAAAAACAUAAAUUUAUAUAAAGAUUUAUAGGGUCUUCUCGUCUAUUAAAUAAAUUUUAGCUUUUUUACUAAAAAAUAAAUUUCUACAAUAAUUUUAAUUGAAACAGUUAAUAUCUCGUCAAACCAUUCAUCCCAGCCUUCAAUUAAAAGACUAAUUAUUAUGCUACCUUUGCACAGUUAAAAUACUGCGGCCAUUCAAUAC